RNAcentral lists this long non-coding RNA (1455 nucleotides) under Anser brachyrhynchus (Pink-footed goose). Its description in RNAcentral is "lncRNA (ENSABRG00000021180.1)". The record is from RNAcentral. Lineage: Eukaryota; Metazoa; Chordata; Aves; Anseriformes; Anatidae.
UUAUUAUCCGCCUCAGCCUGAGAUCAUCUGAGCUGCAUUUUGUGCAGUCCCCACCGGGAAGCCCUUAAACAAAUGCAAUAGCUAAUACAAGAGACAAAGGGGAAAAGAUGAUCAAAUUAUCCAAGAAUAUUUUCAGCUACAGCUUCGAUGGCAUAAAAAAGAAACACGCUAUUUCUAAUACAAUCUUGAAAACCCCGGGAGCAUCCUGUGAGCUCACAGCAGGGCGCUGGGUGCAGAAGCCCCAAGGCCAGCCCCUAGGAGUGGCCCGAGACGGCUCCAUCACUGGGCUCUCGGCUGCUUCGAACCCCCGCCCAACGUUACAGGGCAUGGUGUGAUUUCUGACACUGCUUUUAGAUGCAAGGUGAAAGAAAAAGCACGGGCGGACAAUAAAGCAAAUGUAUGCAGAGCUUGAGAACAGAGGGAUCUUUUCACCCCCCAAAAUUCAUUUGGAAUAUGAAAAUUGAGUACCCCAGACUUUACACACCCUUUUGCAGGUGCUGGUGACCAGUCUGUCGCUGGGGAUCGGUCAGCAGGCGUCGUGUGGCAGUCCUGGUGUCAGGGCACUGUUGCAGGUGCUGGCACGAGGCCUGGUGCAGGCGGCUGGUGCCCGAGCAGUGUGCACCAGGGGAAAACCCAGCCUGCCGGCCCAGCCGUGUCGUCGCUGCAGGGGAGGGGGCUUCUGGCAAGCAGCUGAUCUUUGGCCACCGACCGCGUGUGGUGCCAGACAGACCCCAAGGCCAUGAAAUCUCUCUCUGAAGGCAGCAGGGCACAUUUGUGGACGUACGCCUUACCUGUAGCCAAAAAACAUGGUACGGACGGACAGCACAGGACACACCUGCUCCUUUGUCGCAGCGACUCGAUGGUGAGCAGCACGGAUUGCACAAACCAGUCAACCCUCAACUUCGUGUUGAAUGAUUGUAAUUUAGAUUUAUUAAUAUUUAUGACAGAAGAAACACAGAAGCGUAGGACAAGGGUUUGGUGUAACACUUCAGCACACACCUUUAGAAGAUGCUUUAAAACGGGGCAGAUUUCCUAUGUUUCUCUGGUUCAGUACUUUUUAAUUGCACGUGAGUGGAUAUGAAUACUUCGCCUGUCCUACUGCGAUGUUGUAGCACGCCCUGACUGGCUGGAAGGGGAGAACAUUUUAAGCGGGUCUCUUGGCAGGUACCUAGGAACGAACCAACGCCACAUCAGCGCACGCUGGAGCUGUAUGUGACCGGGCUGAUGCCCCACACGAGGCACAGUCCACACACGACGGAGAACUUCCCCCUUUCCACCCGCAGGGCAGCCGCCCACCCAGGCGUUGCGAGCGAACCGCCACAGGGUGCGGGCACACAGGGGGUGCACGGACCCCACCGCCCCCCGCUCCCCGCCGGCCACCCCCCGGGUCGGGGCCCUCAGCGGGCCCGGGCCUCGCUCUGGGCCCCGGGGCACGGGGCCGGGCGGGGCGGGGCG